Molecule: ribosomal RNA, 253 nt
Filed under: uncultured bacterium
Lineage: Bacteria
Description: partial 16S ribosomal RNA
Rfam family: Bacterial small subunit ribosomal RNA
Source: RNAcentral
UACGAAGGGGGCUAGCGUUGUUCGGAUUUACUGGGCGUAAAGCGCACGUAGGCGGAUUGUUAAGUUAGAGGUGAAAUCCCGGAGCUCAACUCCGGAACUGCCUUUAAUACUGGCAAUCUAGAGUCCGGAAGAGGUAAGUGGAACUCCUAGUGUAGAGGUGGAAUUCGUAGAUAUUAGGAAGAACACCAGUGGCGAAGGCGGCUCUCUGGUCUGUUACUGACACUGAGGUGCGAAAGCGUGGGGAUCAAACAGG